GCGGGUGUAGUUUAGUGGUAAAACUCCACUCUUCCAAAGUGGCCUCGUCGGUUCGAUUCCGUCCACCCGCA
Molecule: transfer RNA, 71 nt
Filed under: Cephaloticoccus capnophilus
Lineage: Bacteria; Pseudomonadati; Verrucomicrobiota; Opitutia; Opitutales; Opitutaceae
Rfam family: tRNA
About the family: Transfer RNA (tRNA) molecules are approximately 80 nucleotides in length. Their secondary structure includes four short double-helical elements and three loops (D, anti-codon, and T loops).
Source: Rfam by way of RNAcentral